This 721-nucleotide long non-coding RNA is filed under the name Nicotiana benthamiana. Its description in RNAcentral is "long non-coding RNA (NBEN_LNC024726)". The record is from RNAcentral. Lineage: Eukaryota; Viridiplantae; Streptophyta; Magnoliopsida; Solanales; Solanaceae.
AACUCUUUAGCCAUCGCUUGCUUGAACUCAUUGAUCAUCCUUUGGUUAUUUCCUGCAAAGAUUAAAUCAUCCACGUACAAGCAAACGAUCAAGAUAUCUCCAUCUUUCAUCUUGGCAUAGAGCGCAUGCUCAUGUGGGCAUUUGGCGAAGUCAUUUUCUUGCCAGUACUUGUUGAUCCUACUGUUCCAUGCCCUUGGUGCUUGCUUUUGUCCAUAUAAUGCCUUCUUCAAUCUUAAGACUUUGUCUUCCUGCGUCGUCACCUCAUAGCCCAUAGGUUGUCAGAUGUAAACUUCUUCCUCAAGGACUCCAUUCAAGAACGCCAACUUUACAUCCAUUUGGUGUAUCUUCCAUUUAUUUUGAGCUGUCAGAGAAAUGAUUAGUCUUAUAGUUUCUAAACGGGCUACAGGGGCAAAUACCUCGUCAUAGUCGAUGCCGGCUCUUUGACUGUAUCCUUUUGCAACAAGCCUCGCCUUGUAUCUUUCGUUAAGACUUUGUCUUCCUGCGUCUUCACCUCAUAGCCCAUAGGUUGUCGGAUGUAAACUUCUUCCUCAAGGACUCCAUUCAAGAACGCCAACUUUACAUCCAUUUGGUGUAUCUUCCAUUUAUUUUGAGCUUCCAGAGAAAUGAUUAGUCUUACUGUUUCUAAACGGGCUACAGGAGAAAAUACCUCGUCAUAGUCGAUGCCGGCUCUUUGACUGUAUCCUUUUGCAACAAGCCUCGC